This 1347-nucleotide ribosomal RNA is filed under the name uncultured bacterium. RNAcentral describes it as "bacterial SSU rRNA". It matches the Rfam family "Bacterial small subunit ribosomal RNA", at positions 28 to 1401 of the family's 1533-position model. The record is from RNAcentral.
GAUGAACGCUGGCGGCGUGGAUAAGGCGUGCAAGUCGUACGGGUCACCUUCAGGUGACUAGUGGCGAACGGGUUAGUAACACGUGGGUAACGAACUCUAGAGAUGGGCAUAAUCCGUUGAAAGACGGACUAAUUCCCAAUAGUCCCCCCACCAUAAUUUGGUGAGGGGUAAAGGAGAAAUCCGCUCUGGAAUCGGCCCGCGGCCUAUCAGCUAGUUGGCAGGGUAAUGGCCUACCAAGGCGAUGACGGGUAGGGGAUGUGAGAGCAUGUUCCCCAACACUAGCACUGCGACACGGGCUAGACUCCUACGGGAGGCAGCAGUCGAGAAUAUUGGACAAUGGGGGAAACCCUGAUCCAGCGACGCCGCGUGCUCGAAGAAGCCCUUCGGGGUGUAAAGAGCUUUUCUGGGGGAAGAAGUUUCGAUUGACGGUACUCCAGGAAUAAGGGGGUGCUAAUCACGUGCCAGCAGCCGCGGUAAUACGUGACCCCCGAGCGUUAUCCGGAUUUAUUGGGCGUAAAGCGUCUGUAGGCGAUCUGGAAAGUCUUUGGUUAAAUACCAAGAGCUUAACUUUUGGGAUGCCAGAGAUACUUCCAAAAUAGAGGGCGUUAGAGGCUGAUGGAACGGUCGGUGUAGGGUGAAAUCCGUUGAUAUCGACCGGAACACCGAAAGCGAAGGCAUUCAGCUGGGGCGACCCUGACGCUGAGAGACGAAAGCGUGGGGAGCAAAAAGGAUUAGAUACCCUUGUAGUCCACGCUGUAAACGAUGGACACUGGCUAUUUGAAGUGUCGACCCUUCAAGUGGCGAAGCUAACGCGUUAAGUGUCCCGCCUGGGAAGUACGGCGGCAACGCUAAAACUCAAAGGAAUAGACGGGGCUUCACACAAGCGGUGGACCAUGUGGCUUAAUUCGACAAUAAGCGAAGAACCUUACCAGGGUUUGACAGGCUAGUGAAAAUCUUCCGAAAAGAAGAUCUACCCACAAGGACACUAGUCCAGGUGCUGCAUGGUUGUCGUCAGCAUGUGUUUUGAAAUGCACGCUUAAAUGCGGUAACAUGCGCAACCCUUACCCUAUGUUUUAUUUGUCAUAGGGAACUGCCUGGGAUGACCAGGAGGAAGGUGAGGAUGACGCCAAAUCAGCAUGGCCCUUUGAUACCCUGGGCUGCACACGUGGUACAAUGGGGCUGACAAUGGGUUGCCAAGGCGCAAGCCGGAGCUAAUCCCAUCAAACAGCCUCUUAGUUCGGAUUGAGGUCUGAAACCCGACCUCAUGAAGUUGGAAUCGCUAGUAAUCGCCAAUCAGCCACGUGGCGAUGAAUAUGUUCCUGAAGCUUGUACUCACCGCCCGUCACA